UGGGGAAUAUUGGACAAUGGGCGCAAGCCUGAUCCAGCCAUGCCGCGUGAGGGAUGAAGGCCCUAGGGUUGUAAAGCUCUUUCACCGGUGAAGAUAAUGACGGUAACCGGAGAAGAAGCCCCGGCUAACUUCGUGCCAGCAGCCGCGGUAAUACGAAGGGGGCUAGCGUUGUUCGGAUUUACUGGGCGUAAAGCGCACGUAGGCGGACUAUUAAGUCAGGGGUGAAAUCCCGGGGCUCAACCCCGGAACUGCCUUUGAUACUGGUAGUCUUGAGUUCGAGAGAGGUGAGUGGAAUUCCGAGUGUAGAGGUGAAAUUCGUAGAUAUUCGGAGGAACACCAGUGGCGAAGGCGGCUCACUGGCUCGAUACUGACGCUGAGGUGCGAAAGCGUGGGGAGCAAACAGG
RNAcentral lists this ribosomal RNA (404 nucleotides) under Actinomycetes bacterium. RNAcentral describes it as "Actinobacteria bacterium partial 16S ribosomal RNA". It matches the Rfam family "Bacterial small subunit ribosomal RNA", at positions 355 to 776 of the family's 1533-position model. Lineage: Bacteria; Bacillati; Actinomycetota; Actinomycetes. The record is from RNAcentral.